CCGCCCGCACUUUCCCGGCGGAAAGUGGCUCGCCCGCGAGGGCGUGUGCGCAGGGGCGGGGCGGGGCGGGCCGGGAGCUGACCAGAGAGGGCGGCGUGGGGUCUCCUCCCCGCGGCGCGCCCGUCCUCCUCCUCCUCCUCCUCCUCCUCCUCGGGGCCUCGCUUCCUUCUCCUCCUCCGCACGCUCCGCCGCCCCUGUCCAGCCCCUCUGCCCCAAUGUGGGGGCAAGUGCUCACGGAGAGGCGCCGGGGCUCGGAACCCGGCCGGGCUCGGGCAAGCAGUUGCGAAACGCGCCGCGCCGGGGCAGGGGGCGGGCGGAGGGGCGCCGGGGGCGGAGGCCGCGCAGCCGGCGGCGGACGGCGCGAGCCCGGCGGCAGCUGUCAGCGGGCGCGGGGCGCGGGCGCGCCAGGGCUCGGCCGAGCGUGCGCGCCGGGGCCGGCUUCCCUCCCGCGGGCGCCGCGGCGGCCUCGCGCUCCCCACGAGCCCCGCGCCGCUGCGAGCCCGCGCGGCCAGGAAAAGCGCGCCCGGCUCGGGCGAAGCCUCGUCGGCGCCCCCGGCCUCCGCCUCCUCCGCGGCGCCGCCCCCGCGCCCGCGCCGAGCCCCCUCCUCGCUGGUCCCACACCUCCCUCUAGCGACUCCAGCCGCGUCCCUUCGCGGCUCUCCCGCCUCCCUCCCCCGCGCCCGGGUCUCACUGGCGCACACCCGUCUAGGGAGAGACCAGGUGGGUGGUAGAGGAUGUGCGGGGGAGCAGCCCGGAGAGGAUUUAGGUGAAUGAGGCGAGACGUCCAGAUCACCCAGUUCCACCCGCAAGGAGGCUCCUGCCCCAAUCGGGGGCUGACUUGGCGGGAAGAUGCGGGGAGCUCGUGCACUGCCCGGGGCUGCCGCCGGGGGUCGCGGAGGCCCCCGGCCCUGCUGCGGGCGCCGGGCACCAGGGACCACUCCACGCCGGCUCCCGCGCCGCCGUGGCCGGGUGGCAGGGCGAGGGGCGCAGCCCCUUCCCCUCGGGGCCGCUCGGCGUCGGCACAGCGGAGGCCGGAUGUGGGCACCUGCCUGCUUCCAGAGAGGGGUCCCAGCCGCGCCCGCCCCGCCCGGCGCGGGUCUCUCCCUCCCUCGCAGCCCCUUUAGGAGGGGCGACGCCCGCCGUGCGCCACGUUUCACUUCUGAUAUGACUGCCACCCGCUCUCCACCGCCCCCGCCGUGCACCGGGCUGGCUUGCCCAGACUCUGGCAAUCCCCAAAGGCCUCUGCCGCGGCCCAGAGAGCUAAGAGCAUCAAAGCAAAAACGCCGCCGCUCAGUCACACCUUCCCUUCCGAGCAACUCCCCUGCAACCUCGAGCAAUGGAUAAAGAAGCGUCUUCAGCCGAUGGGACUCGGUCCUUUGGAUGUCCACAUGAAACAAAGUGAAUCACACCAUACACAGCAUUUGAAAAGAGGAAUGAAGCUUCAAUAUGACUUUCCAUUUCGUUCACUUUAUAUAUGAAGAAAAACGAGGGCCCUCUCAACAUUUGUUCUUGUCAAGAAAAGGAAAAUUGAGGCAUCAUUCAAAAUACACAUGAUUCCAACACUUGAAGCACUUGCUGAAGAACAACAACCAUCUAAACAACCAACCAACUAGCUAAAAACUCUUUGUAAUGACAAGAGAUUUUCACAUAUGAGGUAUAUGGAGCAACUAUUCGAAUUCAAAACUGAUUCGGCUUGAAUUAUGGCCUAUCAAACAUACAUUGUACAUCUGCCUAAUCAUCAAAGUAAAGAAUGCACUCUCUUAAGAGAAGGGAGCUGAUUCUGCCUCCCUCCCCUCUAACACCCUGCAGGGAAGUUAGGAUGGUAAUGGUUGCAGAGCGAAGAAGAGCGAAAAGAGAAUGCAGAAUAGAGGUCGGCUCUAAUUGUGUGCCCUGCUUAAGUCUGUGCUCUUUCCAUUUACAUCAUUCAAGUCCCACAAGCAGGAAACAGAAACAUGCAGCUGUGAUCCAUGGGCCAGAAAACCAUGACUCCUACUGCUCUAGGAUAGGAGGCCUGGCCCUGGGAGGCUUCGAUGCACAGCUGCACUGUCAAAGUCAGCUCAACUACUUCUCCAUAUUUGGGAUGCUAAAUUUUGCUGCAAAACCCUAAACACCUCCAUAACCAUGUUUUCUGGCAACAGCAAAUUGAGAAGCCUAGAAACGACUUCCUCCUCACUUCUGCCUUCCACGUUUUGCAUAAGUACAUCAUGUUGUCAGCACCUAAUUUGCACUCAGAACCCUAACUGCAAAGGACUCUGCGGAAUUGUAGCUUUCAGGUUGUCAGCCUGUGAAUGAUGCUGUAGCGAGAGGAGGGGAUACCUCCUGAGCAACCCAGUCCUUAGUGUUUGCCCUUUCCUUAAAUCAUGGCGCCUUUUGUACCUCAAGCUUGAAUCUUCACUUGGAAAUGCGAUCCUUCAUUUGGAAAUUACUUUCUUGCCUAAAGGGUUUUAAAUCUUUGUGAAGUUCCCAAGGCGUGGAAAAGAAUAUUGGUCCUGCAGAGAGAACGCAACAAUUAGAGCAGAAGACACGGAUCUUGGCCCAAAGAACAAGGCAUCACACCAUGGGGCCAGCAUGUUACAGCAUGUAUGAUGAGCACAAACCUUUCUGUAGAAAUCAACUGAUGCUGAGGAAAUCAACAGGCACAGGAGCUGACACAUCAGAGUAGCUAAAUACAUAUCUGUUAAGAGAGAGAGACUAACACUCGAAGACUGUAUUUUGAGCGAGUUCAUGAGCAUAAUUCAUACCUUUUUAAAAAAUCCUAAGGGAAAGAAACAGAUGCUCUUGACCCAAUUCUGUACUAAUAGACCCGUAUGUACAGUAUAUAUAAGGUUACAUGAUAAAUUUUCUGUGUUUCUCAUUGUAGAGUGUGGGUUCAGUUAAU
This is a long non-coding RNA of Equus asinus (donkey), 2878 nucleotides long. NCBI's taxonomy places the organism in Eukaryota, Metazoa, Chordata, Mammalia, Perissodactyla, Equidae. The record is from Ensembl.